RNAcentral lists this ribosomal RNA (471 nucleotides) under uncultured bacterium. RNAcentral's name for it is "bacterial SSU rRNA". It matches the Rfam family "Bacterial small subunit ribosomal RNA", at positions 8 to 524 of the family's 1533-position model. The record is from RNAcentral.
AGAGUUUGAUCCUGGCUCAGAACGUACGCUGGCGGCACGCCUAACACAUGCAAGUCGAACGAAGUAGCAAUACUUAGUGGCAGACGGGUGAGUAACAUGUAGGUAUCUGCCCUUUGGCCUGGAAUAACACGAGGAAACUUGUGCUAAUACCGGAUAAGUCUUUACGGAGAAAGCUUUAUGCACCAUUGGAUGAGCCUGCACUUGAUUAGUUUGUUGGUGGGGUAAUGGCCUACCAAGACUGUGAUCAAUAGCUGAUUUGAGAGGAUGAUCAGCCACAUUGGGACUGAGACACGGCCCAAACUCCUACGGGAGGCAGCAGUGGGGAAUCUUGCACAAUGGAGGAAACUCUGAUGCAGUGAUGCCGCGUGAGUGAAGAAGGCCCUUGGGUUGUAAAGCUCUUUCGUCGGGGAAGAAAAUGACUGUACCCGAAUAAGAAGGUCCGGCUAACUUCGUGCCAGCAGCCGCGGUAAU